CGCUUUUUCUCUCUAUCAGUCCUUGUGUCUAUCACUCGCUGCGGUCAGCUGCCACACCAAUUCUUUGGUGUGGCUAGGCAAGAACCUUACGUGUUACAUUUUGGCGAGCCAGCCAGGAGUCUCCAGGAAAGGCAUCUAGAUCGUCACAUGCUUCUUCCCUCCAGGUAAAUUGCAGACGUGAUGCUCAGAAUUAAACUGUCAGGAUGCUGCCAUUCUGCUGCAUGCUCCGGACAGCUGGCCGUUAGGGAGCACUGCAGGCUUGGAAGAGGUGACUUGUCUCCCUGUGUACAGCCCUCUGGGUAGAGCAGCUGUCAUCUAAAUACAGAUGCUGAUCUCCAAAAGAAGUUCCAGUUUGGUUACAGAGAGUUACAGCAUAGUGAAACUUCAAGAACUAGGUUUUUCUGGACCAUCCCAGUGCGCAUGAAUCAGGUGAUUUUAUCUUUUGUUCCUCUCCUUGCUAUCCCUAAUCUGUCAGGCAGUCCUAAAUCUAUACCAUCAGGCUUGUUUGUUCUACUUCUCUAUCCUUUUAUUAUGGUUCCAUUAACUCACAUCCAAGGAUGUCAAGAGAAUAAAUAGCCCAAUAAAACAAAAGAAUAUACUUCCAGAUUUAAAAAGAAAGAAACAUACAAGAAAUACAUAAAUCAUACUAUAUGACGAUAGCCCAGAAGAUUGCAUGGAGGAUCUUUGUGUUUCCUGUAGAAGAAAAGAAAAAUGGAAUUUCCAUCUCUUGCAUCAGCACUUGACAGCUGGAGUUAUUGUUGACCAGGCAUCAAGAAAGGAGGGAUAUGCAUCAGAAAUCAUUUUGCCUGAAAUAAGCACAACUCCAUGGAGGACAAUGACACAUUUUCUCUGGUGAUCUUGUAAUUGGGGAUGAUGUAAACAUGAGUCUAAUCUGCAUUUUGUCUAAGAAAUUCUUCAUCAUGAGCAUCUUCCAAUAAAACGUGGUUCCUUACAACAUGA
RNAcentral lists this long non-coding RNA (960 nucleotides) under Homo sapiens (human). RNAcentral describes it as "non-protein coding LINC00434:2". Lineage: Eukaryota; Metazoa; Chordata; Mammalia; Primates; Hominidae. The record is from RNAcentral.